CGCCUGUUUAUCAAAAACAUCUUUUCUUGUUAGUUUUUGAAGUAUGGCCUGCCCGCUGAUUUUAGGUUGAAGGGCCGCGGUAUUUUGACCGUGCAAAGGUAGCAUAAUCAUUAGUUCUUUAAUUGUGAUCUGGUAUGAAUGGCUUGACGAGGCAUGGGCUGUCUUGGAUUGGGAUUGUUUAUUGAAUUUGGUUUUUGAGUUAGAAUUCUUAAAUGUUUUUAUGGGACGAGAAGACCCUAUAGAGUUUAACAUUUAUUUGUAUAGCUUGUUUUGGUUUGUUUAUGUAGUUGCUUUGUGUUAAUGUUUUGUUGGGGUGAUGGGAAGAAUUUUCUUAACUCUUCUUUGUUUUGGUAUAUUGAUUUAUAUUGGUUUUGAUCCAUUUAUUUUGAUUAUAAGAUUAAAUUACCUUAGGGAUAACAGCGUAAA
This 426-nucleotide ribosomal RNA is filed under the name Macrotermes gilvus. RNAcentral describes it as "partial 16S ribosomal RNA". The stretch from base 1 to 174 matches the Rfam family "Bacterial large subunit ribosomal RNA", at positions 1797 to 2031 of the family's 2925-position model. Lineage: Eukaryota; Metazoa; Arthropoda; Insecta; Blattodea; Termitidae. The record is from RNAcentral.